GCAAACGUAAGGGCGAGUGCCAUCGUGCCUGUAAGGCCGAUCCCGUGUAAAGGCAACGGCAGAGCCUCUGACUAUCUACCACAGCGAUCACACGGCAAUAACGUGCAAGUCGUCCGUGAAAGUUUUUUAUCAACGGACGAACCCAUCUGGACUUACAACACGAGCAAACGGGCCAAUGUUUGGUGUGAGGUGGGCCUGAAGCUGAAUAUCACCGAUAAUUCUAUUUUUUUCAAACGAGCCUCCUACGACCGAAAGGGAAUGACAUCAGCCAUGCUAGAGGGAAAAUUUACCUCGAGCAGGAAGAAGCACAUGGAUAUUGAUAGUCCAGGU
Long non-coding RNA from Dermacentor silvarum, 330 nucleotides. RefSeq lists it as uncharacterized. The record is from RefSeq and is a predicted model, not a curated record. The transcript has 3 exons. NCBI's taxonomy places the organism in Eukaryota, Metazoa, Arthropoda, Arachnida, Ixodida, Ixodidae.